UGUGUACUUCUUUAUCCGGGUUCCAGGAGGAAGUGACGUGUAUAGCGCGCGACCGGUGCUUUACUCGCUUCCCGGAAGCUAGACGUACUGCGGGACUGGUUUGUUGUGCCAAGAAGAGAGAUCUCCAAAAAAACCACCCAGGAGCUGUCUCCGAUAUGGAGGCCGGUCCCAAGAUGGAGUAGGUUUGGCCUCUCCAAUUCAGUCUUGAAUUCAGAAGUCCUGACGCUUUUUGAACGUUCUAGAGGGACUAGAGGCAUGGCUUGAAGUUCCGCCUAAGAUCUGAAAGACAAGAAAAAGUUUUGAGAGGAACACAGGAUGUAAGCAGAAUGUGCUAGUAAUUUGUAGUAUGUCUGAAAGAAACACUAAGAGGAGCUAGAUGGUCUUGAAGAGAUGGAUGUUACAGUGUCCAGAUGUCAUGUCUUUUGUUUGUUUUGAUUUUCUGGCUGUUCUGGAACUAGUUCACUAGACCCUGCUGGCCUCGAACUCAAAGAGAUCCGCCUGUUUCUGCCUUCCCAGUGUUUCAAGGCAUGGGCCACCCCUGCCUGGCUCCAGGGUGUCAUGUUUUUAAAAAAAUGAAAAACUAAUGGCUAUAAGCCAGAAUUGUAAAGGGAAAUCCUUCCAUCUUAUUAGUUAAAAUAGUUAAACUUCUUUGGUAUAAAUUUAAGAUUCAUAUUCAGCUGUAAGAAACAAAGGAGCCUGUUGGUUCUUUAUCCUGGUUUUCCCUCCUGCAACAUCUCAUAAAGCUGCAGUGCAUUUUCCCUCUUAGAACCACACAAUUUUUAAUCCACCUUCUGAAAUCUCAGCUAUCACUAAUCCACAUACCAAAAGAGUUGUGAACGUGCAUGCAUGCCUAUGAGUGUGUGUGUGUGUCCACUAAUCACAAGGAGGCUGAGGUGUGGUGUGUUAUUGGAACUGGAGAUUUAUCUAUCCAGGUUUUGUUAGUAUUAUUCCUGACAGGAUCCCAUAA
Mastomys coucha (southern multimammate mouse) is the source of this 967-nucleotide long non-coding RNA. RefSeq lists it as uncharacterized. The transcript is spliced from 2 exons. Lineage: Eukaryota; Metazoa; Chordata; Mammalia; Rodentia; Muridae. The record is from RefSeq and is a predicted model, not a curated record.